This 468-nucleotide ribosomal RNA is filed under the name uncultured bacterium. RNAcentral's name for it is "partial 16S ribosomal RNA". It matches the Rfam family "Bacterial small subunit ribosomal RNA", at positions 28 to 507 of the family's 1533-position model. The record is from RNAcentral.
GACGAACGCUGGCGGCGUGCUUAACACAUGCAAGUCGAACGGAAAGGCCCUGCUUUUGUGGGGUGCUCGAGUGGCGAACGGGUGAGUAACACGUGAGUAACCUGCCCUUGACUUUGGGAUAACUUCAGGAAACUGGGGCUAAUACCGGAUAGGAGCUCCUGCUGCAUGGUGGGGGUUGGAAAGUUUCGGCGGUUGGGGAUGGACUCGCGGCUUAUCAGCUUGUUGGUGGGGUAGUGGCUUACCAAGGCUUUGACGGGUAGCCGUCCUGAGAGGGUGACCGGCCACAAUGGGACUGAGAUACGGCCCAGACUCCUACGGGUGGCAGCAGUGGGGAAUAUUGCACAAUGGGCGGAAGCCUGAUGCAGCAACGCCGCGUGCGGGAUGACGGCCUUCGGGUUGUAAACCGCUUUCGCCUGUGACGAAGCGUGAGUGACGGUAAUGGGUAAAGAAGCACCGGCUAACUACGUG